CUUACUGCAAGUCACUUUCAACUUCGGCUGGGUAGAAUGGCGCCUCCUGAAGGCUGCAAGGGUUCUGGGCGACGACAGAUGCUGGACCCUUGGGCUCCUCUCUGGCGGCUCCCUGAUGCUCAAAAGGUUUCUGGUCCGGAUCUGUAGGACUGAUGAAGACACUUUGAGAUCUGUGUCUGUGUUUGUGAUCUGUGUCUCGACUCAAGAUGUCUCACUGAAAAGGAUGGGGGAGACAUGGCUGUGGAGUAAUAUGUUUCCGUACCCAAUAACAGGUUUCUCCACUGACGAAGCCAAAUCAAACCGAACUUAAAAAGACCGGGUUUAUUGGGCCAAGCACUCCCGGGUGGCCUUUCCGGUCCCCAGAGAUGAGUUUCUCUUCAGCUUCCCAUGACAGCAGGGCGGAGGGUGCACUCACGUCACAGAGAUCAGAAGGCGGGCUUCACCACAGCCAGCAGGAAAGGCCUCAGUUCUCCUGAUGCCUGCCGACAGGGGGCAGGGAAGUUUCUGGCAUGCAGGUGUCUCUCUCGCCGUAUCAUCCGAGCUUCCGAUCAUCCAGAGGUCUCUCCAGGGCCAGUCCUGCAAAGCGUGCCUGGAUUGAAGAGCUCUGCUCUGUCCGCAGUAGCGGAGAACCGUGGGAUGCCACACCGACACAAACGGGGCUCUGCGCCUCCUGGUGGACACGGCUUUAAACUGCAGGCUUUUCCUUGAAGAGGGGCUUGGGAACUGAAUGUCUUGUGUCUCAGACAGU
Myodes glareolus (Bank vole) is the source of this 748-nucleotide long non-coding RNA. RefSeq lists it as uncharacterized. NCBI's taxonomy places the organism in Eukaryota, Metazoa, Chordata, Mammalia, Rodentia, Cricetidae. The record is from RefSeq and is a predicted model, not a curated record.